Non-coding RNA from Pelobates cultripes (western spadefoot toad), 229 nucleotides. NCBI's taxonomy places the organism in Eukaryota, Metazoa, Chordata, Amphibia, Anura, Pelobatidae. The record is from the annotation of a GenBank genome assembly.
GGAGAAUUAAAGGUAAACCAUUAUGGCAGAAAUAUUACGACAAAUUGAUUUUCAAUAUAGAAUGGAGGUUGCUUUUAUUAUGAAAGAUAUCAAUUGGAUAAAUACAUGGAAAUCUGGGCUCCGUGCAGGCAAUAUAGAACUAAUUAUAACUCCUUGGUGGAAUUACACUCCUCUCUCUUCUUUUAUCACCUCAAUACCAGGACAUAGUAUGAUAGUGGCUGAAUGAAAG